RNAcentral lists this long non-coding RNA (268 nucleotides) under Lathyrus oleraceus (garden pea). RNAcentral's name for it is "Pisum sativum (pea) long non-coding RNA (PSAT_LNC003473)". The record is from RNAcentral. Lineage: Eukaryota; Viridiplantae; Streptophyta; Magnoliopsida; Fabales; Fabaceae.
AAGAAUGUAAGUCAUUCCAAAUAUAAUCAUACUGAUAAAAUGUCUUAUGUUGAUUUGCAAAAUGCCUUUAGUACUCUACACAACGAGGCCAAGGAAGCUUUUAAACGCUUGGCCUCUAAUAAGAAAAUUUUCAGUCAUUUAGAAAAGAGGAUUUCUGACUCCGAAAAGGAAUUAUAAACUCUUAAGAAAUCUAUGAUAGAGAUUACUAAAGGCAAAACGGAAGACGAUAAGGGAUUUGGGUGUUUAUAUGGGCUGGAUGUGAAACUUG